Small nuclear RNA from Elgaria multicarinata webbii, 96 nucleotides. Lineage: Eukaryota; Metazoa; Chordata; Lepidosauria; Squamata; Anguidae. The record is from RefSeq and is a predicted model, not a curated record.
GUGCUGUGUGAAAGGAGAGAAGGUUAGCAUCCCCCUUGGUAAGGAUAGAAAAGGCUCCCAUGGCCUAUAAAAUGCACACCUGUAAGAGCCUUCUGU